GUUUCCGCAGUGUAGUGGUUAUCACGUUCGCCUCACACGCGAUAGGUCCCCAGUUCGAAACUGGGCGGAAACA
This 73-nucleotide transfer RNA is filed under the name Danio rerio (zebrafish). RNAcentral's name for it is "tRNA-Val (CAC) (tRNA-Val-CAC-58-1)". Lineage: Eukaryota; Metazoa; Chordata; Actinopteri; Cypriniformes; Danionidae. The record is from RNAcentral.